UUUAAAGAUUACCCUUUCAACAAAUAAUUAAGUAUAAAAUGCCAUCAAUCGAGGCUGCUAAUAUCCUAAUCAUUUAAAGAUUACCCUUUCAACAAAUAAUUAAGUAUAAAAUGCCAUCAAUUGGAGUCAAAAAAUGAAUAUUUGAAUUUAUUAAGAUCUCUAACCUUCAUUUCUUUUGAUGUUGCAAAUUUAUAUUCAAUCUCUAGGUCAUCUUUCGAAUCAAUUGACAAUGCAAAACAUAUUGUAUAAAAUGGACAAAUCUAAGGUAAUUGUGUUUUCUUAUAUUUAGGUAAGGUUUUUGUUAAGGUUUCGAAAAUAAUUUCAUUUUAACUUUGUUUUCACGUUGCAUUGUUAAAGUUAACUAUGCGAGCUUCCAAGAAGUUUAAACGACGGAGAGCUACAAUUGUUGUGGCAAUUUGAGAGACCAAUAAGAGACUACAGCUGUCAAGCGAACCAGAAAAUUCUAUAUCUACUCCAAUUAAUGAUAAGCAAAACACGCAGCCUACAAAUGCAAAUGUAGAAGCUCCGAAAAAGGAAAGGUGUCCAACUCAAGUGAAAAUGAUUCCUGGAAAUAGUUAUUAGAACAUGGAUCUCGAAUUCAAUGAGUAUGGGCAAGUAGUUGGCCGUAACUCAGAUAAAUUUGCUAAUGUAGUUAGAGCCAUGGUACGAGAACAUAUGCUUGCUGUAAUUAAAGAUUGACAUUCGGUUGAUGGGAAGUAAAAAAUGAAACUUUGGAAUUUCGUACAGGUAUAUCUCUUAUCUACCUUUUAAGAUUAUUACAUUAUAUUCUUUUCAGACUUUAAUUUAUUUUUGUAUACAAGUACAACAAAUGUUCAAUGUGAGUGAUUAUUAUCAAAAAAUAACAAUUCAAUGUAUGGGAAAGUAUUGAAGGACAUUUAAGUCAAGACUGAAAAAACAAAUCAAAACUCAAGUCGAAUCAUACGUGAAUAGAGCUUGCACUAUGGCCUUUCUUAGACCGAAGAAUGUUAAAUCUGAACAAGCAUGGGAAAAUUUUGUCAAGGAUAUGCUUUCUGCUGACUUUCGUGUAAGUAUAUUUACAUACGAGGCUUCAACUUUUUAUAAUUACUUUACAUUAUUAAUAUUUGGUAUUCGUAAUAGGAAAAAAGUUUCAAGUUUAGCAGCAUGAGAACAUCUCAGAAGCUUGUCCACAAUAUGGGUUGAAAGGGUUAUCCAUGCCCAUGAAAUGGUAGAAUUACAAACAUAUCUAAUCUUCUUAUUUGAAUUGUCACACUCUAAUUUAUGUAAUUACUAGAUUUUUAUUGCAGGGGAAAAAUAUUCUAGAUAUAAAAUGAUUGAGAACUAGAGUAUAGACUCAUGGAUAUCUUAGAAAAGAUGGAAAAUCGAUAAAUUACAGUUGCUGAAACUUUAGUAUGUGUAUUAUAUCAAUGUUCAACUAAGAUUAAUUUGAUUUACUAUAUGUACCACUUGUUAAUAUAAAAUUUGAGUUCCAUGACUAAAGAAAAUGAUUGAAGUGUGUGCCCAAUCAAUUUCUGAUACACCAGCAGAAUCCCCAUUCGAGAUGAUGCUGUUGCUCGAUUUUUAGGUCCUGGACGCCAUGGAAGAGUUAGAGGACUUGGAUUUAAAGAUCCAUCAUCAAAAGUGGAUAGAAAAAUUCAAAAUAAUAUAAGAGUUAGAGAACUUCAAAGUCAACCACAAACUCAUUAAGAAAGGGGGGCAUUAGAAGAAAAGUUUGAAGUACUUCUCAAACUAUCUCAACAGGUUAUAAUCUGACCAUUAUAUAUACUGUGGUAAUAGUGCUUAAUACAGUCAAUUACAUGUAAAUUUACUUUUAUAAUUUUUGUAUCAUCUUACAUGAAUAUAGAGGAUAGGAGUUCAUGUGCUUUUAUUCCCCAGGUUUUUGUAUCCUACAUUAUUAAAUGUUUGUUGAAUUUGUAGACGCACCAAGGAAGUGGUGUCCAAGGAGGUACUGCACACCUGAAAAAUGCAAGGUGUUAACUAUUGCAUUGGUACGUUUUUUAGGAGGAAGAAAUUAUAGCGGAAGGGAAGAUUGUAACAACAGACCUAAGUGCAAAUGUGCAUCACUUGCCACUCGAACGAGACUGUUGGAAGGUUUGGAUUAAAGAGGUGUAUAUGGGUGAUUUAACCUCUAUAAAGACCUACACAUGAACUUAGAACUCUUAGUGAUGCCAUGAGAAGUACUGUUGAUUGGCCAAAGAGCAGUAUUAAACUUAUUUGAUGAAAGUAUAUUUCGUAGACUAAUUACAUACAUGUAUGAAUCUAUUUUUAUUUUCAAAAUCAAUUGUAGUUCUAUUUACACAUGAG
RNAcentral lists this long non-coding RNA (2304 nucleotides) under Olea europaea subsp. europaea. The record is from RNAcentral. Lineage: Eukaryota; Viridiplantae; Streptophyta; Magnoliopsida; Lamiales; Oleaceae.